Molecule: ribosomal RNA, 253 nt
Filed under: uncultured microorganism
Description: partial 16S ribosomal RNA
Rfam family: Bacterial small subunit ribosomal RNA
Source: RNAcentral
UACGGAGGGUGCGAGCGUUAUUAGGAAUUACUGGGCGUAAAGCGCGUGUAGGCGGCAGGGCAAGUCUGGUGUGAAAGCCCGGGGCUCAACCCCGGAAGUGCAUUGGAAACUGCUCUGCUUGAGUACCGGAGAGGAAGGGGGAAUUCCCGGUGUAGCGGUGAAAUGCGUAGAUAUCGGGAGGAAUACCAGUGGCGAAGGCGCCCUUCUGGACGGUAACUGACGCUGAGGCGCGAAAGCGUGGGGAGCAAACAGG